This 340-nucleotide ribosomal RNA is filed under the name Spodoptera albula. Its description in RNAcentral is "partial 12S ribosomal RNA". The record is from RNAcentral. Lineage: Eukaryota; Metazoa; Arthropoda; Insecta; Lepidoptera; Noctuidae.
UUAAACUAGGGAUUAGAUACCCUAUUAUUAAAAUUUAAAUUUAAAAUACUAAAAAAGUAUAUAAUUAUUUAUUGAAACUUAAAUAAUUUGGCGGUAUUUUAGUUCAUUUAGAGGAAUCUGUUUAAUAAUUGAUAAUCCACGAAUAAAUUUACUUAAUUUUUUUAUUUUGUAUAUCGUUGUUAUAAAAAUAUUUUUUAAUAAUAAUAAUAUUUUAAAAUUUUAAUUAAAAAUUAAAUCAGAUCAAGAUGCAGAUUAUAAUUAAGAAUAUAAUGGAUUACAAUAAAUUUAUUUAAAUGAAUAUUAAUUUGUAAAAUUUAAUUGAAGGUGGAUUUAAAUGUAA